UACGGAGGGGGCUAGCGUUGUUCGGAAUUACUGGGCGUAAAGCGCACGUAGGCGGCUUUGCAAGUCAGAGGUGAAAGCCCGGGGCUCAACCCCGGAAUUGCCUUUGAGACUGCAUCGCUAGAAUUGUGGAGAGGUAAGUGGAAUUCCGAGUGUAGAGGUGAAAUUCGUAGAUAUUCGGAAGAACACCAGAGGCGAAGGCGACUUACUGGACACAUAUUGACGCUGAGGUGCGAAAGCGUGGGGAGCAAACAGG
Molecule: ribosomal RNA, 253 nt
Filed under: uncultured bacterium
Lineage: Bacteria
Description: partial 16S ribosomal RNA
Rfam family: Bacterial small subunit ribosomal RNA
Source: RNAcentral